GAAUUUGAGAAAUUAAUAAAAACAUUUGUAAAGUAAUUUCUCCGAAAAAUGGCCGAUAUGUCGAUACGCCAUCUUUGUUUUCAUACGCAUUCUAAACCCACUGCGAUCGUUCAGAUAAUUUGAAACAACCGCGUUAUAUUCCCGACUGUAAGUGAUUUGUGAUUGGUCAAUCAAAUUGCACUUUGACACGAUAAUCGCCGACGACAAGUAAACAAACAAGAUGCCGAACGGUUGUUGUGUAUUGGGCUUAUAGAACGCAAAUAAGUCACCCAAAAGUAUCGUUUUUCCUCUUUCCCAAGAAAGAUAAAAAUAUAAAAACUUUUAAUAAGUGGGUAGAAUAAAGGACAGCGAGGAAGAAGAUGUUGAGGAAAUGCCAUCUCAGAACAAAAAAGAAAAACAACGAAAUCUAUAUACCGACGAAAACGGGAGGUUGAAAGUGUAAGUACAGAACCUACAUAGCAGCUUUGCAAACCAGGGAGGAGAUCUUGAGAACUCUUUGUGGUUCUCUCUUGCCAAAAAAGACUGGGUAGCUGAAAAAAAAUCUUGUCAAGUCUACAUUCGAAUACGCUGCGAACAUAAUUGAAAUGGCUCUGUACAUGGCAAAAAGUAAUAUGAAAGAGUUUUUACACUGCUGAAAUAAUGUGCGAUCCAGGAACAAUUGCUGGGAAAUUACCGAAACCAGACAAAAAUCAGUUUGUGUCCAGUUUACUCAGCCGAUUCAACAGAAAUUAAAUACUGUACUGUAUAGCCAUACAGUAACAUGACCAUGUUACACUUUUUUUUAUAAGAGCCAUUCAAAUUAUGCCCAGGCUCACUGUUAUUAUUUUUUGCUGAUUCCAGCAUUACUCUAUUUCCAUUUACAGAAAAUUGUUAUUGUACAGCAGUAUAUUACUGUGCUAUAAACGUUAUAAGAUCAUUAUCGUUGAAGUAUAAACAGGCCUUUAUCCUCAACCUGGGCUUCAAUAUUUGGAAAAGAUUUUGGUUUGUACCUGAUUGUACUUUAAACAUUUCUUAUGAGGUAGUUCUUGUUAUUUUGCAUAGUAAAAUACCUACUACAUGUCUUGUGAUAUGUUUCCAAACUACAUCUUCCACGUUGUAUUAACAAAUUCUACCCACUUAUUAAAUGUUUCUAUAUCUUUUUUGGAAAGAGAACAAAAGAUAGUUUCUGGUGACUAAA
Anneissia japonica is the source of this 1177-nucleotide long non-coding RNA. RefSeq lists it as uncharacterized. The transcript is spliced from 3 exons. The record is from RefSeq and is a predicted model, not a curated record. Lineage: Eukaryota; Metazoa; Echinodermata; Crinoidea; Comatulida; Comatulidae.